UGGUUCGCAAGAGGGAAGUCCAGCCUUCGUUAUGAAAUGGGAUAAUUAUGCUGGUAUUUGGUAGCUUUUCCAAGUACACCUUGUGCUUACAGUUAGGAUGUCGGAUGUCUGGCAGAGACCGCUCCAGUGCUAUAUUGUUGCUAACAAAUAUGUUGAAGCCAUUUUCUCUAUAAGCUGAAUCAUCAUGGUCUUCCUCUGUCAGAGGGUAGGGCUUUCCAUGUUCACCUUUCCCUGAACGCAUAGCAUCUUUUUGAAUACUUUCAUAAUUGUGCCAAUCCUUCCUUUUCAGUCCAUCAGUCCAGGUGAACAACUG
RNAcentral lists this long non-coding RNA (313 nucleotides) under Gallus gallus (chicken). The record is from RNAcentral. Lineage: Eukaryota; Metazoa; Chordata; Aves; Galliformes; Phasianidae.